AACGAACGCUGGUGGCGUGCUUAACACAUGCAAGUCGAACGAGAAAGUUUCCUUCGGGAAAUUAGUAAAGUGGCGCAAGGGUGAGUAACACGUGAAUAAUCUGCCCUCGAGACUGGGAUAACCUGGUGAAAACUGGGCUAAUACCGGAUAAGACCACGUCCCGCAAGGGAUGCGGGAAAAGGAGGCUCAACCUCCACUUGUGGAUGAGUUCGCGGACCAUUAGCUUGUUGGUGAGAUAAAAGCUCACCAAGGCUACGAUGGUUAGCCGGCCUGAGAGGGUGAACGGCCACACUGGAACUGAGACACGGUCCAGACUCCUACGGGAGGCAGCAGUGGGGAAUAUUGCGCAAUGGGCGAAAGCCUGACGCAGCAACACCGCGUGAGCGAUG
This 389-nucleotide ribosomal RNA is filed under the name uncultured Nitrospina sp. Its description in RNAcentral is "bacterial SSU rRNA". It matches the Rfam family "Bacterial small subunit ribosomal RNA", at positions 29 to 410 of the family's 1533-position model. The record is from RNAcentral. Lineage: Bacteria; Pseudomonadati; Nitrospinota; Nitrospinia; Nitrospinales; Nitrospinaceae.